This 801-nucleotide long non-coding RNA is filed under the name Triticum aestivum (bread wheat). RNAcentral describes it as "long non-coding RNA (TAES_LNC013649)". Lineage: Eukaryota; Viridiplantae; Streptophyta; Magnoliopsida; Poales; Poaceae. The record is from RNAcentral.
CAUAUCUUAGUCAUGGUAAUGCUGUCAUAAUAAGAAGUGAACUCAAUGUUUUUGCUUCUUGUAGACCAUCAUGAGCAUGAUCACACCCAUGACCCUGGUGUUUCCUCUGUUAAGCAUUGUUUGCGAAGGGGAGAUGGAUCUCUAAAAGUAAAAGGUCAGACUUAAAAUUGUCUCGCAUGCAUUUAUAUAUUUUCUAAAGAUAGCUAAGAUGAAUUUCUAGGUUUUUUAUGGCCCUGCAUAUGAUGGGGUUGUGUACAUCGGGGUAAACAUCUCACAAUUGAUUCUCCUAAUGAACGUAGUGCUGACACUGACAUAUGCCAGAUGAAGGGACUACUCUCUAUCAGUGGAAUGCCUAAACGCUUUGCCUUUCAGGUUUGUGCUACUCUAACCUAUAAUUUAUACUGGUGAAAACAAUGUCGUAAUUUCUUUUAGUGACAUGUUAAAAGGGAUACAGUGGGUCCAAACAGUCAUAUAAAUUUAUUUGUUGGUAGGAAAGACAUCUCUCGUCUAUAAAGAAAGCAGCCUAGCUAUCUUUCCUUUCAUUUUCUUAUUAUUCGCCAUUUCAAUCUUGGGUCUCCAUGCCCAAGCACAAGCUGAUACCUGAAUAAUCAAUUUAUUUUUACUUCUAAUCUAGAUCAAGGAUUAUGCUCUUGAUUCUAGAGUGCCAUCGGACAAUUGCUUGGCCUGUUUGAAGAUUCGUUGUACAUAUAAGCUUAUGCAAGUUUUUCUUUCAGAUUUGCACAAAUGGGAGAACAAAUUGCUACGUGUUCUGCUGCCCUCUCGUUAUGGACUGCUUCCAUG